RNAcentral lists this ribosomal RNA (497 nucleotides) under uncultured bacterium. RNAcentral's name for it is "partial 16S ribosomal RNA". It matches the Rfam family "Bacterial small subunit ribosomal RNA", at positions 28 to 507 of the family's 1533-position model. The record is from RNAcentral.
GAUGAACGCUGGCGGCGUGCUUAAUACAUGCAAGUCGAGCGGACAGACGAUGAUUUUGCUCCUUUGACGUUAGCGGCGGACGGGUGAGUAACACGUGGAUAACCCACCUAUAAGACUGGGAAAUUUACGGAAAACCGGAUCUAAUCCGGUAUAAUAUCUUGAUCCGAUUGGUUCAAUGGAAAAUGACGGUUUUGCUGUCAUUAAUAGCGGCUUCCGAGCUGCAUUGGUUCGUUGGUAGGGUCCAGGCUUACCAAGGCAACGAUGCGUAGCCGACCUGAGAGGGUGAUCGGCCACACUGGAGCUGAGACACGGUCCAGACGCCUACGAGAGGCAGCAGUAGGGAAUCUUCCGCAAUAGGCGAAAGCAUGACGGAGCAAGGCCGAGUGAGUGAUGAAGGUCUUCGGAUCGUGAUGAUCUGUUAUUAGGGAAGAACAAAUGUGGCAGUAACUGAGGACGUAUUGACGGUACCUAAUAAGAAAGCCACGGCUAACUACGUG